RNAcentral lists this ribosomal RNA (207 nucleotides) under uncultured bacterium. Its description in RNAcentral is "partial 16S ribosomal RNA". It matches the Rfam family "Bacterial small subunit ribosomal RNA", at positions 568 to 774 of the family's 1533-position model. The record is from RNAcentral.
UGCGUAGGUGGUUUCUUAAGUCAGAGGUGAAAGGUACCGGCUCAACCGGUGACGUGCAUUUGAAACUGAAAGACUUGAGUACUGGAGAGGCAAGUGGAAUUCCUAGUGUAGCGGUGAAAUGCGUAGAUAUUAGGAGGAACACCGGUGGCGAAGGCGGCUUGCUGGACAGAUACUGACGCUGAGGUGCGAAAGCGUGGGGAGCAAACA